Molecule: ribosomal RNA, 727 nt
Filed under: uncultured fungus
Lineage: Eukaryota; Fungi
Description: SSU rRNA
Rfam family: Eukaryotic small subunit ribosomal RNA
Source: RNAcentral
ACAUCCAAGGAAGGCAGCAGGCGCGCAAAUUACCCAAUCCCGACACGGGGAGGUAGUGACAAUAAAUACUGAUACAGGGCUCUUUUGGGUCUUGUAAUUGGAAUGAGUACAAUUUAAAUCCCUUAACGAGGAACAAUUGGAGGGCAAGUCUGGUGCCAGCAGCCGCGGUAAUUCCAGCUCCAAUAGCGUAUAUUAAAGUUGUUGCAGUUAAAAAGCUCGUAGUUGAACCUUGGGCCUGGCUGGCCGGUCCGCCUCACCGCGUGUACUGGUCCGGCCGGGCCUUUCCUUCUGGGGAACCUCAUGCCCUUCACUGGGCGUGUUGGGGAACCAGGACUUUUACUUUGAAAAAAUUAGAGUGUUCAAAGCAGGCCUUUGCUCGAAUACAUUAGCAUGGAAUAAUAGAAUAGGACGUGUGGUUCUAUUUUGUUGGUUUCUAGGACCGCCGUAAUGAUUAAUAGGGAUAGUCGGGGGCAUCAGUAUUCAAUCGUCAGAGGUGAAAUUCUUGGAUUGAUUGAAGACUAACUACUGCGAAAGCAUUUGCCAAGGAUGUUUUCAUUAAUCAGUGAACGAAAGUUAGGGGAUCGAAGACGAUCAGAUACCGUCGUAGUCUUAACCAUAAACUAUGCCGACUAGGGAUCGGACGGUGUUAGUAUUUUGACCCGUUCGGCACCUUACGAGAAAUCAAAGUUUUUGGGUUCUGGGGGGAGUAUGGUCGCAAGGCUGAAAC